Molecule: long non-coding RNA, 1379 nt
Organism: Mauremys mutica (yellowpond turtle)
Lineage: Eukaryota; Metazoa; Chordata; Testudines; Geoemydidae
Exons: 3
Source: RefSeq, a predicted model, not a curated record
GUGAAAAGGAAGGAGGGGGACCUCAUGCGGCAGCGUGUUGUGAGUGGAGAGUGGCAGCCAUCUGUCAAACCACACCCUGGAUUCCACUGGCCUUGGCUUGGACAGAAGAGUUAAGGUGGAAUGAUAGAGAACAGGUACAAGACAGGCAAUGGAGAUUUUCCUACAGUGUCCUGCCAAAGUGCCUCAGUCCUGCCCUGGUACAGGAAAGGAGGUCAAUCUCCAGGCCUGGUCAGACCUUGAUCUUGCUACUGAGACUGCCACCAGCUCAGCUGUGAUGGGCACCAGCUAUGAUAUGGGCACCUGUCUGUAAGGAACUACACUGAGAACAAAAACUCGUUUCAUACACAUCACCAAAAAGUCAUUAGAUGACAAUAAUUGCAGUUACUACCAACCUGGAUUAGAUCUGAACCAACAACCUAGGCUAUUACCAGUCCCCUGAGCUAUUCGCUACCCUUAAAUUUCUUCUUUCCCUGAUGUUGUAUUAUGUACCCUUGAAGUGAAUAUAUCAGAUUCCAAAUUUUUGUUCACAUAGGAAUGAGAAUACAUAUGAAUAAUUUCUCAACAUAUAUGAAAAUCUGUUAAAUAAAGAGCCUCUAUGUUGUAAUAACAUUAAAAUGUUGACAACUUCCUAGAAAAUAAUAAUCACAUUCUUUUUAACCUGUGCUCUUUGGAGGUUCCCUCUCAUCCCCUGGCUAGGACAAGUUUUGUUUUGGAUUGUGUAGAUAUACUGUCUGUAUUGUGCAGACCCAAAUAUUUGCUCAGAUUACCAAUUAAUUUGUCAGGAGAUAGUGUGAGAUUUCACACAAUGGGCUAAAUUGUCUGCUAAAGUAAAUUGUCUCAGAUCCGUUAAAAUAAAUGAAUCUGCUCCAAUUUACAUCCUCAGGGAAUAUGAGCCAUGAAUUCUUGAGAUAUGCCAACUGGUACCGGGGAGAAUGACCUACUUUGUUUUCAGAAACAAUGACAUUAACAAAACACAAAACAAGCUUUGCAUAAAGACAUGAAGGGCAUCAAAUGGCCAUCAAAAAAGGAACAUUUACUCUUUGAUCUGUAAGAUCUGUACAUAUGUUUUUAAAAUGCAUAUUUGACCUCUAUUGUGACUGUGACAAACAAAACACUUUUGCUCCUGUAAUUUACUACAUAAACCACAAUGGGCUUAAUAACGCUUUGGUCUGCGCUGUAUGUAUAUACACAAAAAUCAGGAAUAUGAUAUAUUCACUUCACCGGUACAUCCCAUCAUCACAAAUGAUUUUGUCUGAAUUAUUAUUUACAAAUCCUGAGCCCUAGAUAAUACUUUGUAUGCAGUGUUGUGUUUCACUGAGAGUACAUGUUUACAGCUCAGUUACAAAGCCCUAAGAAAAAAGAGUUUUCUUACCUAGACU